CCAAUAGCGUAUAUUAAAGUUGUUGCAGUUAAAAAGCUCGUAGUUGAAUUUCGGGACUAGUACGCUGGUCAUGCCUUUGGUAUGUACUGGUGUUACUGGUUCCUACCUUCUGACGAACCGUCAUGUCAUUCAUUUGGUGUGGCGGGGAAUCAGGACUGUUACUUUGAAAAAAUUAGAGUGUUUAAGGCAGGCUCGCGCUUGAAUACAUUAGCAUGGAAUAAUGAAAUAGGACGUUUGAUCCUAUUUUGUUGGUUUCUAGGAUUGACGUAAUGAUUAAUAGGGAUAGUUGGGGGCAUUAGUAUUCAAUUGUCAGAGGUGAAAUUCUUGGAUUUAUUGAAGACUAACUACUGCGAAAGCAUUUGCCAAGGAUGUUUUCAUUAAUCAAGAACGAAAGUUAGGGGAUCGAAGACGAUCAGAUACCGUCGUAGUCUUAACCAUAAACUAUGCCGACUAGGGAUCGGAUGAUGUUAUUUUUAAUGACUCAUUCGGCGCCUUACG
RNAcentral lists this ribosomal RNA (498 nucleotides) under uncultured Glomeromycotina. Its description in RNAcentral is "partial small subunit ribosomal RNA". It matches the Rfam family "Eukaryotic small subunit ribosomal RNA", at positions 591 to 1092 of the family's 1831-position model. Lineage: Eukaryota; Fungi; Glomeromycota. The record is from RNAcentral.